ACGCCCGUAGCUCAGUGGACAGAGCGCCGCCCUACGAAGGCGGAGGUCGCUGGUUCGACUCCAGCUGGGCGUG
RNAcentral lists this transfer RNA (73 nucleotides) under soil metagenome. It matches the Rfam family "tRNA". Rfam says of the family: Transfer RNA (tRNA) molecules are approximately 80 nucleotides in length. RNAcentral also lists the same sequence under 1 other name. The record is from RNAcentral.